AAUAAUUGACAAUGGGGGCAACCCUGAUCCAGCCAUGCCGCGAGUGUGAAGAAGGACUGCGGAUUGUAAAGCACUUUAAGUUGGGAGGAAGGGCUUUAGGUUAAUACCCUGAAGUUUUGUCGGUACCAACAGAAUAAGCACAGGCUCACUCUGUCCCCGCAGCCGCGGUAAUACAGAGGGUGCAAGCGUUAUUCGGAAUUACUGGGCGUAAAGCGCGCGUAGGUGGUUCAGUAAGAUUGAUGUGAAAUCCCCGGGCUUAACCUGGGAACUGCUUUCAUAACUGCUGAGCUAGAGUACGGUAGAGGGUAGUGGAAUUUCCUGUGUAGCGGUGAAAUGCGUAGAUAUAGGAAGGAACACCAGUGGCGAAGGCGACUACCUGGACUGAUACUGACACUGAGGUGCGAAAGCGUGGGGAGCAAACA
This 422-nucleotide ribosomal RNA is filed under the name uncultured bacterium. Its description in RNAcentral is "partial 16S ribosomal RNA". It matches the Rfam family "Bacterial small subunit ribosomal RNA", at positions 360 to 774 of the family's 1533-position model. The record is from RNAcentral.